Molecule: long non-coding RNA, 1917 nt
Organism: Gasterosteus aculeatus aculeatus (three-spined stickleback)
Lineage: Eukaryota; Metazoa; Chordata; Actinopteri; Perciformes; Gasterosteidae
Source: Ensembl
AUUACUUAAUCCAAUUAUUUGAUAACUUUAGUUACCGGCAGAUACCGAUACAAUUAGCAAUAGAAUUAUAAGCAAACCAAUUAUAUAUUAUAGAUGAUACAACCAUUUGAUUGAUUCACAAGCUAGAAUCUAGAAUCAGCUCCAGCUGUACCAGCUGAAACAUUACAGUGUAGCGGCUAUUAAUGCAUCCUAUAAUAUCCAAUUAUAUCCAAUUAUAAAGCUUCUUUUGGCACGUUAAUUAAAUUAUAUUUAAUCUGCCAUUAUUACUUUAAUCAAAUAAAAAUGAAUGACUUUCACACUGUUUUACUGGGACUUUUACUUCUCCCACCUCCGUGCUCAACACAUGCAAAUAUAAAAAGAGUUUUCCCGUAGUAUGAAACCAACGACUUUAACAGAGAAGGCUGGCGGCUCAGCUAAGCCCUCGUCGACCACGACCGUGGGGGAUAUCACGAGCAUCUGAUAGAGAAACCUAGAACGUGGCUAUUCACAUAACCGAGGCAGAUCCAUAGAGAGCCCGGCGGUGCAAAUAGGAUUUGAUGUGCUGGGAAGAGGUGCGACUAGGGUCCAAAAGAAUGCGCCAUUUCAUAAAUAGCCUUUGUUAGAUGCGAUGCGUACGAUGGUAAUGGGGAAAGGAGCUGGUGAGAGAACCUUGUCUGGCUCUUCCCAUCUCUGCACAUUAAUCUGAAGUGACACAUCACAAACGACGUCUCCUAUCUUUGAAAAGGCCGCUAUCCUUCCAGCGCUGAUGCCGCGAUGAUAGCAGAGAUUGUUUAUUAACUUUUAAAAAUGGGCACUACCAGCAUCAGCAUUUUGGAUCAAUCUGUAGGAACAAUCAAUAACAGCUGACAGCUAAAAACAGACUGUGUUUGGAGUAACUGGUCACUCUUAAGACACCCACCUCUCUUUUAUCGGAGCCCAUCAUCUACGGAAGUUACUUUAUUAAAAGCAGCAUUUUUGUUUGUGGGAGUUUCUGCUGGUGAAAGAAAGGAUUGACAUUCAAACUAACAACAUGGUAACGAUAAGUUGUGGAAUAUUUCCACUUUUCCUCUGUCCUCAUUUCUGUCUCCGGUUCUCACAAGACAAACUCGAGAUAACUGCUUAAUCGAAAAAAACAACGUAGCGGACAAUCAAGAGCACAAUCGGUCUCUUUUCUCUGGUGGAUGAAUAUCUUCACCAAGAGUCUGCGUAAAUUGAUACUCCACAACAGACGGGAGGUUUUCACAUCCGUUCGUUAGUUGUUGUUGUUUAUUAUUAGAAAGCCUACCGGAGUUUCCCUCUGCACCUUUUCCCCUUGUUAUUGACGAGGAUGAAGCGGCCUGAGAUCCAUCACCAUACAAAGGCGUGCGCUACGUAGGCGUGCGCUACGAAGGCCUGCGCUACGUAGGCGUGCGCUACGAAGGCCUGCGCUACGGUGGCGUGCGCUACGAAGGCGUGCGCUACGAAGGCGUGCGCUACGAAGGCGUGCGCUACGAUGGCGUGCGCUACGAAGGCCUGUGCGCUACGAAGGCGUGCGCUACAUAGGCAUGUGCUACGAAGGCGUGUGCUACGAAGGCGUGUGCUACGUAGGCGUGGCAUUUGGCCGACUUGCUGCCGUGUCCGGAUACAUUUUAAAACCGGUUUAAAAAAGAAAACCAGUCGAGUGCACGUAGACCGGUCCCAUUAUUGACCCAACCCGCCCGAGCCCUCCCAUCCCACGGUCCAGAUGUUCCAUGUAGCUGCUGAAAUAUUCACACCUGGUCGGCUCUUCCACAGAUGUGGCCCCGUCAGUCCAGAUAAAAGGGAACACGGGCAGUUAAUCGACACGCUGCUGCGAUGCAGGACUUCUUACACAAGCACCAUCUUCAUGGGUCUAACGGUUGUGGAGAUUGUUAGAAACGUUGUUGUACUGUUCAGCAGAUUGUGCGGUGGGGGUGGGGG